Non-coding RNA from Cinara cedri, 490 nucleotides. The record is from the annotation of a GenBank genome assembly. Lineage: Eukaryota; Metazoa; Arthropoda; Insecta; Hemiptera; Aphididae.
CUCACAUAAGUAUAGGGUCUUUUUUUGUUUUAACUUUUCGGCUGUUGUUCACCACAUUAAGAAAGAGAUGAUUUAACCACAAUAGGUCUGAGGAUACAAAUUAAAAUCAUCCAUGCAUUUGAAUAUUAACUUGGGUCCAAGUUUAAAAAUUAUUCAAAAUUUUAAAAAUUACUUCCAAGGUAGGCAACGAGAACAAAUAACACACGGUGUUUGAAACUUAUUUGAAAGCUAUUCCAUAUUUGUAUAUUAUAAAUCCAAAUGCAUAAGAAUAAAGAUUACUGUAAACCUAACGAUCAGAUACUGAAAUAGUAUUUAUCCUCAACAUUGUAUUAUAGCUAUUUGUCAUUUAAUGAGUUACUACGUUUUGGUACUUAAUUGGAUAUUUUAGGUAAUUAUAGAUUCUGUUAACCUUAAUAUUGUAACAAUUAGCAGGUACAUAUGUUAAAAUUACUAAUCAACUACCUCUUUUUUAGUCAUUAAAUAAGACACU